Molecule: ribosomal RNA, 440 nt
Filed under: uncultured bacterium
Lineage: Bacteria
Description: partial 16S ribosomal RNA
Rfam family: Bacterial small subunit ribosomal RNA
Source: RNAcentral
CCUACGGGAGGCAGCAGUGGGGAAUAUUGCACAAUGGGGGAAACCCUGAUGCAGCGACGCCGCGUGAGUGAAGAAGUAAUUCGUUAUGUAAAGCUCUAUCAGCAGGGAAGAAAAUGACGGUACCUGAGUAAGAAGCCCCGGCUAACUACGUGCCAGCAGCCGCGGUAAUACGUAGGGGGCAAGCGUUAUCCGGAUUGACUGGGUGUAAAGGGAGCGUAGACGGCAUUGCAAGUCUGGAGUGAAAGGGGGGGGCUCAACCCCCGGGCUGCGGGGGAAACUGGACGGCUGGAGUGCAGGAGAGGUAAGUGGAAUUCCGAGUGUAGCGGUGAAAUGCGUAGAUAUUAGGAGGAACACCAGUGGCGAAGGCGGCUUACUGGACUGUAACUGACGUUGAGGCUCGAAAGCGUGGGGAGCAAACAGGAUUAGAUACCCGAGUAGUC